GGAGGCGAUCAUACCAGCACUAAAGCACCGGAUCCCAUCAAAACUCCGAAGUUAAGCGUGCUUGGGUGAGAGUAGUACUAGGAUGGGUGACCUCCUGGGAAGUCCUCGUGUUGCAUCCC
This 119-nucleotide ribosomal RNA is filed under the name Oryza sativa Indica Group (long-grained rice). The record is from RNAcentral. Lineage: Eukaryota; Viridiplantae; Streptophyta; Magnoliopsida; Poales; Poaceae.